Molecule: ribosomal RNA, 560 nt
Filed under: uncultured bacterium
Lineage: Bacteria
Description: bacterial SSU rRNA
Rfam family: Bacterial small subunit ribosomal RNA
Source: RNAcentral
UCCUACGGGAGGCAGCAGCUAAGAAUCUUCCGCAAUGGACGCAAGUCUGACGGAGCGAUGCCGCGUGUGCGAUGAAUGUCGAGAGAUUGUAAAGCACUUUUAUACGUGAGGAAUAAGCGAAUCAGGAAAUGGGUUUGUGAUGACGUUAGCGUAUGAAUAAGCUCCGGCCAAUUACGUGCCAGCAGCCGCGGUAACACGUAAGGAGCGAGCGUUGUUCGGAAUUAUUGGGCGUAAAGGGCAUGUAGGCGGUUUUGUAAGUCUGAUGUGAAAGCGUGCAGCUCAACUGCAUUGUUGCGUUGGAAACUGCGAGACUUGAAUCCGAGAGGGGUGUGUGGAAUUCCUAGUGUAGGGGUGAAAUCUGUUGAUAUUAGGAAGAACACCAGAGGCGAGGGCGACACACUGGCUCUGGAUUGACGCUGAAGUGCAAAAGCGUAGGUAGCGAACAGGAUUAGAUACCCUGGUAGUCUACGCCGUAAAACGAUGUACACUUGGUGUCUGGGGUUUUGACCUUACGUGCCGCAACCAACGCAUUAAGUGUACCGCCUGGGGAGUUUUCCGGC